RNAcentral lists this ribosomal RNA (519 nucleotides) under uncultured eukaryote. Its description in RNAcentral is "SSU rRNA". It matches the Rfam family "Eukaryotic small subunit ribosomal RNA", at positions 49 to 575 of the family's 1831-position model. The record is from RNAcentral.
CCAUGCAUGUCUAAGUAUAAAUAGUAUACAGUGAAACUGCGAAUGGCUCAUUAAAACAGUUAUAGUUUAUUUGAUAAUGCACACUAUAUGGAUAACCGUGGUAAUUCUAGAGCUAAUACAUGCUAUAAGCCUGACUGUUUGGAAGGGUUGUAUUUAUUAGAUAUUAAGCCAAUAGUGUCCUCGCGGCACUAUUGCGGUGAAUCAUAGUAACUGAUCGAAGCUCAGCAAUGAGAUAAAUCAUUCAAGUUUCUGCUCUAUCAGCUUUCGAUGGUAGUGUAUUGGACUACCAUGGCAGUCACGGGUAACGGAGAAUUAGGGUUCGGUUCCGGAGAGGGAGCCUGAAAAACGGCUACCACAUCUAAGGAAGGCAGCAGGCGCGUAAAUUACCCAAUCCUGAUUCAGGGAGGUAGUGACAAGAAAUAACAACUCGGGGGCCUUCUGGCCUUACGGGAUUGCAAUGAGGACAAUUUAAAUCACUUAGCGAGUAACAAUUGGAGGGCAAGUCUGGUGCCAGCAGCC